GACGAACGCUGGCGGCGUGCCUAACACAUGCAAGUUGAGCGCUGAAGGCUGGUACUUGUACCCACUGGAUGAUCAGCGAACGGGUGAGUAACGCGUGGGGAAUCUGCCUCCGAGCGGGGGACAACAUUUGGAAACGAAUGCUACUACCGCAUAAAAACUUUAAACACAAGUUUUAAGUUUGAAAGAUGCAAUUGCAUCACUCAAAGAUGAGCCAGCGUUGGAUUAGCUAGCUGGUGAGGUAAAGGCUCACCAAGGCGAUGAUACAUAGCCGACCUGCGAGGAUGAUAAGACAGACUGGGAAUGAGACAGGGACAAGACGAGUACGGGAGGCAGCAGUGGGGAAUAGUGGACAAUGGGAGAAAGACUGAUGGAGCAAUGCCGAGGGAGUGAUGAAGGGCUUAGGGUUGUAAAGCUCUUUUACAAGGGAUGAUAAUGACAGUAACGGGAGAAUAAGGUCCGGCUAACUCCGUG
This 471-nucleotide ribosomal RNA is filed under the name uncultured bacterium. RNAcentral describes it as "partial 16S ribosomal RNA". It matches the Rfam family "Bacterial small subunit ribosomal RNA", at positions 28 to 507 of the family's 1533-position model. The record is from RNAcentral.